UUGAACGCUGGCGGCAGGCCUAACACAUGCAAGUCGCACGGUAACAGGAAGCAGCUUGCUGCUUCGCUGACGAGUGGCGGACGGGUGAGUAAUGUCUGGGAAGCUGCCUGAUGGAGGGGGAUAACUACUGGAAACGGUAGCUAAUACCGCAUAAUGUCGCAAGACCAAAGAGGGGGACCUUCGGGCCUCUUGCCAUCGGAUGUGCCCAGAUGGGAUUAGCUUGUUGGUGGGGUAACGGCUCACCAAGGCGACGAUCCUUAGCUGGUCUGAGAGGAUGACCAGCCACACUGGAACUGAGACACGGUCCAGACCCCUACGGGAGGCAGCAGUGGGGAAUAUUGCACAAUGGGCGCAAGCCUGAUGCAGCCAUGCCGCGUGUAUGAAGAAGGCCUUCGGGUUGUAAAGUACUUUCAGCGGGGAGGAAGGGAGUAAAGUUAAUACCUUUGCUCAUUGACGUUACCCGCAGAAGAAGCACCGGCUAACUCCGUG
This 489-nucleotide ribosomal RNA is filed under the name uncultured bacterium. RNAcentral describes it as "partial 16S ribosomal RNA". It matches the Rfam family "Bacterial small subunit ribosomal RNA", at positions 30 to 507 of the family's 1533-position model. The record is from RNAcentral.